This 467-nucleotide ribosomal RNA is filed under the name uncultured bacterium. RNAcentral's name for it is "partial 16S ribosomal RNA". It matches the Rfam family "Bacterial small subunit ribosomal RNA", at positions 28 to 507 of the family's 1533-position model. The record is from RNAcentral.
GAUGAACGCUGCCAGCAUGCUUAACACAUGCAAGUCCACUUGAAUUUGGGUUUUUAACUUAGGUUUGGGUGGCGGACGGGUGAGUAACGCGUAAAGAACUUGCCUCACAUCUAGGGACAACAUUUGGAAACGAAUGCUAAUACCUAAUAUUAUGAUAAUAGGGCAUCCUAUAAUUAUGAAAGCUAUAAGCGCUGUGAGAGAGCUUUGCGUCCCAUUAGCUAGUUGGAGAGGUAACGGCUCACCAAGGCGAUGAUGGGUAGCCGGCCUGAGAGGGUGAUCGGCCACAAGGGGACUGAGACACGGCCCUUACUCCUACGGGAGGCAGCAGUGGGGAAUAUUGGACAAUGGACCGAGAGUCUGAUCCAGCAAUUCUGUGUGCACGAUGAAGUUUUUCGGAAUGUAAAGUGCUUUCAGUUGGGAAGAAACAAAUGACGGUACCAACAGAAGAAGUGACGGCUAAAUACGUG